This 54-nucleotide ribosomal RNA is filed under the name Trematosphaeria grisea. Its description in RNAcentral is "partial 28S ribosomal RNA". Lineage: Eukaryota; Fungi; Ascomycota; Dothideomycetes; Pleosporales; Trematosphaeriaceae. The record is from RNAcentral.
UCGAAUCACGUAGCGAUACCCGCGGAAAAAAAGCAUAUAAUAAGCGGAAGAAAC